GAUGACACCUUCGUUGGAGCUGGUGCAACCGGCAGCUCCAUCAGUUCCUGCAAGGCUGAUGCAGCAGUCAGAAAUAGUGCUGCCACCACCAUUGUUGGAACCAGAGCCAAAGCUACCUACAUUAACAUCAGAGCCAGCAUUAUUGGGCUUAAAUUGGCUCGCCAAUCAUUCCAAGAGCUCGCAUGUUGUUGGCACAACAAAUAAUAAGCCCCUGCAAAGAUCCAGUGGCCUUGAACAGCAAUUGUGUGUGCAACAAUUGAGGAGAGGCAAGCUGGUAGGGAGCAGGAGAGAUGCAACACUGGAGAAGCUAGUGUUGUUACACGGCUGAGUGGAAAGCAAUCAGCCGGACCACAUAUGAAGGCCUUGACAGAUAAGAGCAAUGUUCGACAUGAGAAGUUGGCACUGGAAGGAGAACCACCCUUGGAGGCAAUGCAGAAGGUGGCUGUGGACGUGGGCUUGUCACUUCGCCCUGUGCUGGAGCAACAGUUAUCUCUCAAGGAAGAACCGCCAGUGCAUGACGAGGGAAGCUUGGACCAAUCCAGUGUUUAUCUCAAAGAAGACAGCAGGAACAACAAGAGCUGGUAUUUGUGGUAGAAGGGCUGCCAAAGAGGAAGCAGUGGUUGGCCAGGAAGAGACAGUCACCUCCAUCAGCAACUGACAGAAAGUGUGCACUGCAUGGCGAGGACCAGCAAUUGAUGACACCAAAGCUGAAGCAGGCAGGCCAUGAGCAGGAACAGCCACGAGACAGCCAGAAGCGUCUGGUUGAAGGGCAGGAUCACGCACCCACGAGCAAGAAGCCCUGGCUCGGCAAGUGCCAGCUGCGUGAGCUCUUCUCAUCCAGCUGAGAAGAGGACGAAGCUUCGGCAGAAGAGGAAAGUGCAUACACCGCA
Long non-coding RNA from Dermacentor silvarum, 890 nucleotides. RefSeq lists it as uncharacterized. The record is from RefSeq and is a predicted model, not a curated record. The transcript is spliced from 3 exons. NCBI's taxonomy places the organism in Eukaryota, Metazoa, Arthropoda, Arachnida, Ixodida, Ixodidae.